UGCGUAGGCGGUUUGGAAAGUCAGAUGUGAAAGCCUACAGCUUAACUGUAGAACUGCAUUUGAAACUUCCAGACUAGAAUACUGAAGGGGCAGAUGGAAUUAGUGGUGUAGGGGUAAAAUCCGUAGAUAUCACUAGGAAUACCGAAAGCGAAAGCGAUCUGCUGGGAAGUUAUUGACGCUGAGGCACGAAAGCGUGGGGAGCAAACG
This 207-nucleotide ribosomal RNA is filed under the name uncultured bacterium. Its description in RNAcentral is "partial 16S ribosomal RNA". It matches the Rfam family "Bacterial small subunit ribosomal RNA", at positions 568 to 774 of the family's 1533-position model. The record is from RNAcentral.